ACCUUAGAAAACUCAAAAAGCCUCAAAACUUAAAAAUAAAAAUAAACAGCUAAAUAAAACAUUAAUAAUAACAAUAAAAAUACAAUAAUAAGUAAUAGAGAAUGAAAAUUAAAAUGCUAAUAACAAAAAAAUUUAAAAAAGGGAAAACCCGAAAAAAGAGAGACUUAAACAAAAGUACUGAAAAGGAAAAAAAUAUCUAUCGCACAUCAUAAACAAACAAUAUUAUUCCUUUUGCAUCAGGAGCUUAUGAGAAAAAACAUAAAUAAAAACUAACAAACAAAAUAACACACACAAAAUUUAUGUAGCCCGAAACCUUGUGAUCUAACCAUAAACAGAUAAAAAAAGACCUAAUUAUUAAAUGUUACAAUAUUUUUAAACGAUUUAUGACUAGAAACAAAAAGUUAAACGAACAAGGAAAUAACUGGUUUUCGAAGAAAUAUAUUUUAGUAUAAAAAAAUCAGAAAUUCUAACACAAACCAAAACAACAAAUUCUGACACACACACAAUACAAACUAAUUGUGAAAAGAUAAUUAGUUUAAAUGAAAACAGCCAUAACCUAAAUUCAAAUUAAUAACAAAAUAUAAUAAAUUCAAAUAAAAAGUAGACUUAAAAACAGCCAUCUUCUAACAAAAACGUAACUGUUUACUACAAAAAUAAUAAAAUAGAAAAUCCAUAACAAAGAAAAAACAAAGAUUAGGUUUUAGAUAUUCGAAUAAACAUAACAAUUUAAGCACUAGUAAAUAACACACACAACCCAAAGAACACUAUCCGGACUUUAAUUAAUAAAUAGAAUUAAAAUUAACAAAAAACAUAAUCUACUUCCGUUCUUAAAUCCGCCUCCGGUAGGACAACAAUAACAACAAAAUCUUAAGGAACUCGGCAAAAAGGGACUCGACUGUUUACCAAAAACAUAGCCAAUAGAAAAAAUUAUUAAGGGUGAUGCCUGCUCAAUGGUUGAACAAUAACAAACAACAACGACUAAAUAGCUGCGGUAACACCUGACCGUACAAAGGUAGCAUAAUAAACAGCCUACUAAUUAUAGGAUAGAAUGAAGGUAAAACGAAGACCCAACUGUCUCAAGACCCUAAAUCUAAAAUAGAAUGUGUGUGCAAAUCCACACCAAAACGGCAAGACGACCAGACCCUAAGAACUUUACUCAAAACUUAAUGAAAAAAAAAUAAGUUUUAAGUUUCGUUGGGGCAACGAUCUUUAAAAAAGUAACUAAGAUUAUCCAAUCACAAACAAAAAGAAAAAAAGACAAUACCUAUAACAGAUAACACCCAUUAAAAACAACUUUAAUGAAAAAAAUAAAAGUUCCUUAGGGAUAACAGCGUUAUAUCGUUCUCCAGAAAAAUAUUCAAACGAUGUUUGCGACCUCGAUGUUGAAUUGCUAUACCCCAAAACGUAACCACAUUUAAAGGUUGGACUGUCCUUCCAUUAAAAUAGCCCAUGAUUUGAGUUCAGACCGAGGCAACUCAGGUCAGAUUCUAUCUACCGUUCCAUAAAUGAAACAGAUACAAGUACGAAAGGAAAAUAUCCACUACCCUCUAGUAAAACCACGAAAAAAAUUCAAGUUUAUAAAACAUAAAACACACACAACACCACCCUCCA
RNAcentral lists this ribosomal RNA (1611 nucleotides) under Hertwigia falcifera. RNAcentral describes it as "large subunit ribosomal RNA". The stretch from base 1103 to 1499 matches the Rfam family "Bacterial large subunit ribosomal RNA", at positions 2049 to 2651 of the family's 2925-position model. Lineage: Eukaryota; Metazoa; Porifera; Hexactinellida; Lyssacinosida; Euplectellidae. The record is from RNAcentral.